Molecule: ribosomal RNA, 426 nt
Filed under: uncultured bacterium
Lineage: Bacteria
Description: partial 16S ribosomal RNA
Rfam family: Bacterial small subunit ribosomal RNA
Source: RNAcentral
GUGAGGAAUUUUCCGCAAUGGGCGAAAGCCUGACGGAGCAAUGCCGCGUGAAGGAUGAAGGCCUAUGGGUUGUAAACUUCUUUUCUCAGAAAAGAAUUAUGACGGUAUCUGAGGAAUAAGCAUCGGCUAACUCUGUGCCAGCAGCCGCGGUAAGACAGAGGAUGCAAGCGUUAUCCGGAAUGAUUGGGCGUAAAGCGUCUGUAGGUUGUUUAAAAAGUAUUCUGUCAAAGAUUAGGGCUUAACCCUAGAUAGGCAGAAUAAACUUUUAAGCUAGAGUUUGGUAGAGGCAGAGGGAAUUCCCGGUGGAGCGGUGAAAUGCGUAGAUAUCGGGAGGAACACCAAAGGCGAAGGCACUCUGCUGGGCCAAUACUAACACUGAGAGACGAAAGCGAGGAGAGCAAAUGGGAUUAGAUACCCGGGUAGUCC